Monodelphis domestica (gray short-tailed opossum) is the source of this 108-nucleotide small nuclear RNA. NCBI's taxonomy places the organism in Eukaryota, Metazoa, Chordata, Mammalia, Didelphimorphia, Didelphidae. The record is from Ensembl.
GUGCUUGCUUUGGCAGCACAUAUACUAAAAUUGGAAUGACACAGAAGAUUAUUAGCAUGGACCCUGUGCAAGGAGGUCAUACAAAUUUGUGAAGUAUUCUACAUUUAA